This 928-nucleotide unclassified non-coding RNA is filed under the name Hevea brasiliensis (rubber tree). The record is from RNAcentral. Lineage: Eukaryota; Viridiplantae; Streptophyta; Magnoliopsida; Malpighiales; Euphorbiaceae.
UCUUCUAUUGUGUUUAGGCACAAGGUAAUGUAGGCUUACUAAUUGACAGUAACAUUUCCUAAUGCAGUCUUUUGUUUCCAAAUUAUGUACUAAUUUAGUUUAGUUGAUUUUGGAACACGUGCAAAUGUUCCUCUGAAAAGCACACUAGGUUGCUGUUCAGUUCUCAUCAUGAAUCUGUAGAAACAUGCAAGUCGGGUCCUCAUUCCUCAACCUCCAAUCAUAUUUGGCUGUCCUGCAACCAACCUAACAAACUUCUCUCUCUCUCAAUCAAUGAAAUUUAUUUGAAAUAUGAAAUGUGGGCACAUAAACAAUAGAAGAAAAAAUAGCAAAAUGAGAGAGCCUAUGAGAGGCCCACUUGCAUUGUUUAACGAGUCUCUGAAACUCCUGUGUGCUGUGUAAACUUCAAUUCAAUCCAAUAAGCAGUGCAAACUACCUUUGUUUGCCAGAAGAUCUUUAGAGAUCGGAGAACCCAAGUCUACUUUACUUACAGCACUAGGCAGCAAGGGCAACUGCACAACCAUUGUUACUUCCAACGUGGUUAUGAGAGGGGAGGGAUGUGUCAAGCUUCAAAUGUAUUUGAGCCUUUUGUUGGUGAGACUACCAUCUAUAAUAUUAAAUAAAAUAAAAAAACAAGGUUGAAAUGCACGAGCCAUGUGUGGGAGGGAAAAAAGGAACAUGAUCCAGACAUCCAGUUAACAUUCCAUACUCUUUGAGCAGUCAAUUUUGAUUCUGGCUUGCUGCCAGUGAGUUUUAUGUAAAACUUAAAUCUGUUACCAAUACAUAUGCUUGUUGCUUAGCCCUUUCUCCAAUUGAACUGCUGAGUCUGAUUCCUUGUUUGUUUUUAUAUUGUACAUUCUUCUCUGCUGCAUGUUUCCUUUGAAUGCCAUGACAUGACUGCCUUGUGCAGUUUGCAGAUCACUCCUGCAUG